UGCAACGCGAAGAACCUUACCAGGGCUUGACAUGUCGCGAAUCCCCUUGAAAGGGGGGAGUGCCUUCGGGAGCGCGAGCACAGGUGGUGCAUGGCUGUCGUCAGCUCGUGUCGUGAGAUGUUGGGUUAAGUCCCGCAACGAGCGCAACCCACGUUUCUAGUUGCCAGCAUUCAGUUGGGCACUUUAGAGAGACUGCCGGUGACAAACCGGAGGAAGGUGUGGAUGACGUCAAGUCAGCAUGCCCCUUACGUCCUGGGCUACACACGUACUACAAUGCUUCGGACAGAGGGUUGCCAGCCCGCGAGGGUGCGCUAAUCCCGUAAACCGAGGCUCAGUUCAGAUUGCAGGCUGCAACUCGCCUGCAUGAAGGCGGAAUCGCUAGUAAUCGCCGGUCAGCAUACGGCGGUGAAUACGUUCCCGGGCCUUGUACACACCGCCCGUCACACCAUGGGAGUUGGCCACGCCCGAAGUUGUUACCCUAACCUUCGGGAGGGGGGC
This 498-nucleotide ribosomal RNA is filed under the name uncultured cyanobacterium. RNAcentral describes it as "bacterial SSU rRNA". It matches the Rfam family "Bacterial small subunit ribosomal RNA", at positions 955 to 1454 of the family's 1533-position model. Lineage: Bacteria; Bacillati; Cyanobacteriota. The record is from RNAcentral.